Molecule: ribosomal RNA, 491 nt
Filed under: uncultured bacterium
Lineage: Bacteria
Description: partial 16S ribosomal RNA
Rfam family: Bacterial small subunit ribosomal RNA
Source: RNAcentral
AUUGAACGCUGGCGGCAUGCUUUACACAUGCAAGUCGAACGGUAACAGGCCUUCGGGUGCUGACGAGUGGCGAACGGGUGAGUAAUGCAUCGGAACGUACCCAGAGGUGGGGGAUAACGCAGCGAAAGCUGUGCUAAUACCGCAUGUGAUCUGAGGAUGAAAGCGGGGGACCGAGCAGCAAUGUUUGGCCUCGCGCCUUUGGAGCGGCCGAUGUCGGAUUAGCUAGUUGGUGGGGUAAAGGCCUACCAAGGCGACGAUCCGUAGCUGGUCUGAGAGGACGACCAGCCACACGGGGACUGAGACACGGCCCAGACUCCUACGGGAGGCAGCAGUGGGGAAUUUUGGACAAUGGGCGCAAGCCUGAUCCAGCAAGGCCGCGUGCGGGAAGAAGGCCUUCGGGUUGUAAACCGCUUUUGGCAGGAACGAAACGGUGUCCGCUAAUACCGGGCGCUAAUGACGGUACCUGCAGAAUAAGCACCGGCUAACUACGU